RNAcentral lists this ribosomal RNA (507 nucleotides) under uncultured organism. RNAcentral describes it as "SSU rRNA". It matches the Rfam family "Bacterial small subunit ribosomal RNA", at positions 8 to 509 of the family's 1533-position model. The record is from RNAcentral.
AGAGUUUGAUCCUGGCUCAGGAUGAACGCUAGCGACAGGCUUAACACAUGCAAGUCGAGGGGCAGCGGGGCGUGGCAACAGCCGCCGGCGACCGGCGCACGGGUGAGUAACACGUAUGCGACCUGCCCGCCACAGGGGGAUAACCGGGAGAAAUCCCGACUAAUACCGCGUAAGCCUUCGGGGGGCAUCCCCCCGGAGGUGAAAGCCACGGCGGUGGCGGAUGGGCAUGCGGGGCAUUAGCUAGACGGCGGGGCAACGGCCCACCGUGGCGACGAUGCCUAGGGGUUCUGAGAGGAAGGUCCCCCACACUGGUACUGAGACACGGACCAGACUCCUACGGGAGGCAGCAGUGAGGAAUAUUGGUCAAUGGGCGGGAGCCUGAACCAGCCAAGUCGCGUGAGGGAUGAAGGUCCUAUGGAUUGCAGACCUCUUUUGCCGGGGAGCAACGUGCGCCACGCGUGGCGCAGUGAGAGUACCCGGAGAAAAAGCAUCGGCUAACUCCGUGCC